RNAcentral lists this long non-coding RNA (759 nucleotides) under Homo sapiens (human). RNAcentral's name for it is "HSALNT0357131". Lineage: Eukaryota; Metazoa; Chordata; Mammalia; Primates; Hominidae. The record is from RNAcentral.
CGACAGGCAGCGAGGAGGAAGAUCAUUGGCUUCUCUUAGGGCCUGUGGCUGGAGGGAAAGUCAAGUUCAGUGCAACAACUGUGACAUAAGGAAUCAGUAGAGUCCAUUUCUCUCUGUGAGGAAUCUUCAGGAACUUAACCACUACAAUAUGUACUGACAUAGUCAGACGUUAACAACGAUGUACUAAUGGCGAAGGGAAAAAAGCAGCGGUUCCUGGUCAAAUCUCCUCUAGAAACUCGAAGAAAGGGAAGGGGCAGGUGGUUUUGUUGGUCUUGUUUUGUUUUGCUUGGCAUGGCUUAAGAGCUGCUCCUUCUGGAGGAAGUGGCCUUGGGCGGCCCAAGCGCUGUGUUACUGGGCUGCGGGCCGGUACUUGGGAAGAAGUCCUCCGCAGUUCAGCAUCCCAGGAUGCAUCUAGCAGAUUUGCUGCCUCAUUUGAGGACUCAGGACACACAGGUCCCUCCACUGCUGUCAGCACAGCUCACCCACACCUGCUACACACCUGUCACUCCUGCAGCACCAACACCCCCCAGAGGAGCCUCCCAGGGGAGAAAAUGGAACCACCAACAGGUUCUCCUAUGAGAGCGUGGAUCCAGAGAAUAUCCCUGAGCUUAUUUCAAAUAUUAGUUCCAAAGGGCUAGAACUGCAGGGCUUAGAACAAUCAAUAUAAAGAUCGUGUUAAAAUCUACUGGAAAAUAUGAUUCAAAUUGCAAAAGCUGAAUUUUCAUAUUCUGCUUAUCAAGAGUGUAUUCAGGGAAUCAU